Molecule: long non-coding RNA, 4562 nt
Filed under: Gallus gallus (chicken)
Lineage: Eukaryota; Metazoa; Chordata; Aves; Galliformes; Phasianidae
Source: RNAcentral
CGAGGGCCUGCUUCUGCUCCACAGGCUUCAUUUGCAGAUUACAACAAAACAGUGCAGGAGGAUUAUAUUUGUUAAACAAAAUGAAAACACAUUUAAGGGGCAGAUAUUCUUUCCAAACACUAAUGGGAUUUUUACCUAGGUCUACCACAGGAGAUUUUCACCAGUGUCAGUUUAGAAGCUCAGUAAACCUCCCUGGAAUUUGGGCGAUAUAAUAAUGCUGUGUACUUUUUUACUGCCUUCCAGUUCAACUGCUUUACCACCAUCAGCAAAAACGUCUUCACAAGAUGUUUCAUAGGGAGUAUAAGUGCGUAACCUCAGCACCAGAACAUCCACAAAAUUGUCAACGUCAUAUAUUCAACCUCCACUUCCAGACUGCAUUGACCACAAGGUUUGUAAGAAAUGUAAUCAGCAACAGCCAGCUUCUCUACAAGCAAUUGUGCCACUGAGGUCCAUGGAAAUACAGCAGCUGCCCAGGAUGUUGUGUUAGGAAAUGGUGUAAUUCCUGCCCCUACCGGAAAGUGAUGAAGAAAUGGCUGUAUCUCAGAGAGAAUAAGUGAAGUUUUACAGAAAACAACCGGAGAAAAGUCAGAUUUGUGAGUAUUGCAUAUUGUGAAAUGUAUAUUGUGAAACUAAUGAAAAACUUGUGAAAUUGGCUUUUACCAGUAGAAGAAAAGCAGAAUCUGGCCCAUAGGGAGGAGCAGUGAGUAUGGAAUCAGAAUAGUACAAUAGUUUUAUUUACAUAAAGACUUAGUAAAACAAGCUGUGUUAUUUUAGCUGAGCCUUCCCGAUUUACUAUCCAAACACAAUAGUCAACGAUACAUAACUGGCAUCUGAUCAUUUCCACAGAAGUGGAAUUCUGUUGAGCAAUGCUCCAGUUAGGAGUGGUUUUCCUCUCCAAGUGUAUUGCCAGUGAAGCCUGCUACACAAUGCUGAGAGAGUGCACACAAGAGAGUAGUAGCCCCAAAUGUGCUUUUGGAAGACAAGGGAUAAUCCCAUGUUGUAAUAGUAAAAUCUCUGUGUUUAUGACUGUCAGUACUCUGCUCCAGAGACUUCUGAAAUCUUUGGUCUGAGUUAGAUUAAGACCAGGGAGCAGCCAAAUUUUAGGCAGCUUGGGGUUGCUCACAGACUUUGGAUUGUUGUAGUGUAGGAUGCUCACGCACAACCUUCCUUUUCUCUUCUACACUCAAAACACAGAACAGCACCAAGGAGACCAGUUCUGUCAGAGGCACUGCAGUUCUGCAGCGCUGCUGCCAAAGAGUACAGAUGAUCUUGCUUUGCUCAGAAGCAAGUGGGAACAAACAUGAUACCCUAAUACAAAAUAUUCCCCUUCAGACAAUAAUGUUUUUCCAUAUUCCCUACUUUGUUUUGCAUGUUUAAUUCUGUUUUGUCAUUUCAUUUUUUUCCCUUUUCUCUCAUAGUCCCAUAUUAAUGGCAUCCUUUAGAUACAUAGGAGUUCACUGUGAUUCUGAAUUUGUCACCUUAGUUUGUUUACAGCGUUAUGUAAAAACCUUCCAAUGCUAUGAAGAUGGCACAAGAAACAACUUUUUCUCUGUGGAAGGACAUGCUGUUCAUACUAGCACUAUCAGAGCUUCAUUCCUGGUUUGUUUUCUUUUUUUCUGACAUAACUGAUUACUAGACAUUGGCAGGCCCUCAUCUUUUAAGAGAUGUAGAAGCUGACAGCGGUAGGUAUAAUUCGGUUCAUGGCUGAAAUUCUGCUCUUUAUAGCACAGUACUUCAGUUGAAAGUAUUAUAAAACAAGGAAUGUCAGAACUAAUUAGUUCAUGACAAGGCUAUCUUUAGGAAGCAACUAUUAAUUCCAGGACAUGCUGAGAAAGUGCUGCUAGAUGAGAGACAGCACUUUCAUUCACCAUGGAACUAGUGCACGGGGUUAAGUUCUAGAUGACAGCCUGUAGUCUUCCCAAACUCUGUUUCUUGUCAAUUUUCUACUAGCUGAGACUAGAUAUAUUUCAGAAAGACACAAGACUGAUUUUUUUGACACCGCUAACAAUUAUAGAACAUUUUAUGUUUUUACCCUUUCUUUCCCACAUCCUUGCCUUUACAGAUGUUUUUAUCAACAUAAUUUGACCACUGUUUCAUUCAGUAUGGAAACAAGUGGGUGAGAGGCACACAUUUCUUAACUGAAUGAUAUGAACUUGCUUUUCCUCUGCUGGUUUUGGAUGUAAAGGAUGUAUGAAGUGACUAUUUGUGCAACUGAUAUCAAUAUUUUCUUAACUAGGUAGCUAGGAUGCAUGUACCUUUCUAGGUGAAUCAAAGCUACCUGACGGGUACAAUAUGGGUAAAUUCUAAGUGAAAAUAUUCUGCAUCUUUAGCAGGAAGGAAUAUGUACUUGUAUCUUGAAAUUCUAGUGUAGAUAUUGUGAACUAGGGGAGUGAUCACAGAAUCCCAUGGGACAUCUUUUUGUUGUAAUAAUUUCUUUUUUUAUCUCUUCUGCUGCUUAUCAAAGGGCUGCCAAAAAAUAGGAGGUUCUCAUUUUUAUUUCUCAGUGAAAUUAAGAAAAAUAAGUAGCGUUGUGUAUGUCUUCCUGAACGCUUCCUGAAACACUCCAGCCGGCAUGAUAAUUUGGGAGAUUAAGUUGUUCAGUUGCUAGAUUGUUUGUAAACAGUAUUCUUUGCAUAGAUUGUGUUAUUGUCCCCCAAAUGAAACAGCUGUGGAUGUAUUUACAGUCUAAGAAAGCUGGAGCAUUAAUAGAAGCUUGCAGUUUUAGUAAUUGUUCUUUAGCUGACGUAGAGGCAAAGCCCAUGGGAAACGUGCUUAUUCUCUCUUUUUCGUCUCUAACCCCACCCACAUGUUGCCAUUUCACUUGAAUGGAUCAGUGUGCUCAGCAUUUAAGGCUUUUAGUAAAUCAGGCCUGUGAGUGAAUGUUUAGUCCCAAACAGUUUAAAGGUAGGUUGUUGAAUACUUCCUAAAAUACAGCUGUAUUUAUGGGAAUAUUAAAAUACAGAAGUUUUCUAAGGUGCAGAAUGGAAUGCAAAAACAAGGAUCACAAAAAAUCAAGUGAUGAGUUUUCAAUUAAAAGAAUGGAACUUUACUGUUUGAUUUCAAGGUCCUGAGAUUGUUUCCUAGGCCAUUCCUUUCUAUACUUCCUUAUACAAAUACACUGAACUUGAUCCCGAAGCUUUAGUGACUAAGAGAAAAUGUUUAUGGAUUUUUGUAUUUAGGUAAUUCCUUUUUAUAACAUCAAGCUCCUGUAUGUCUUGAGAAUACUUUAGUCCUGUCUUUGUUUUAGAAGGCAACCUCUAAUUAAUGGCAGUUAUGAUAGAGUGGAACCAAAAGUUUAUGGCACUUCAAUAAUUUUUUCUUCUAGGUGGACUAGAGAGUGUGUUUAUUUACUAUUUUAUCAGCUUUGCUGUGUUAUAGGAAAGGAAAGAUGCUAGAUGAAAAGAAGUGAUGAAAACAGUUUGAGAGGUUGAAUAAACUUCACUGUUAUUGUAUGAAUGUAGCUGCUAUCCCAAUGCCUUAAUUGGACUGCCCUUAAUUGGACACUCUGGGAUGUGGUAAGCAAAGAGCAAACCACACUGAAAGAAGACACCUGUCAGACAAAGCAGAGCUGUGUAUUUUUAAAUACCUUUAUGUAAGACUAUUCCCAGAUAGAGAUUUGCCCUAAAAUAACACUAAAAUAAAUAAAUAAAUAAAAAUUCCCAAAGGUGAGGAACUUGAGAGAAGACCAGGAAGACUGACUAAGGUGUGUUUCCUUACCCUUCAAUUUGUAAGUUGUUUUUAUAGGGAACAUGUCAUUAUUUCUAGUAUCCUUAUGAGAUGAAAUAUGCAAUCUUAAUACCUGUGUGCUUUAAUUUCCUGUUCUUUCAGUUUUCCCAGAGGGAUUUACUAGGUUAAUAAAAUGAUCUUUGGAGGCUUUUCCAAAGCCCCAUGAGGGCAUUUGAUUUCAUUUGCUUCUGAAUCACCUGUGGUAUGGUGGCAUCCCAAGAGUGCCUGAAAUUGUGCAAUGUACAAAUAUGCACCUUGUGUUGAGUUUUGAAUUGUCAGUGCAACUAAGGAGACAGUAAGAAAACAGAAGUACCUCUCUUUGGGGAAAAAUUUUAGGAAAAUAACCAUUUAUUUGGCUUACGAUGCAGGAAAUCGCCCAAACAACAACACUAUAAAAAACAAGCACUGAAACCAAAAGCCUUAACUCUGACCCCCAAACAUGUCAAGUUCAAACACCUCAGAAAUCAGUGCAUAACAUCUUCCAAAACAUAGACAAUCCCUUAGGAAAAGGUUUCUCAUAAUCAGGAAUUUCCUUACAGGAGAUUGCUCAACAACUCUUAAGCAAUAUUUCCAUUAUGUGCGAAGCAAAAUCAAAAUCUGGUCAUGUUACAGCAUGCAUUUACUUGCUGCCUGUAACUACACGUCUGUUCUUAGACUGUUUCACUCUCAUCUCUUUUAUAAGGUGAAUGGGAAUUAGGGACCUAAUCCUGGAAACUGAUCUUUCCAGUAGUGAAGUGGCACUCUUACUUUAAUAACUUAGCUUGUACAUUUCAGCAGGACUAGCACCCAAUAUUCAACCAGUGCAGAAGUACUUGAAAUAGUUGACGGCUUUCCUG